This 57-nucleotide transfer RNA is filed under the name Neotoma lepida (desert woodrat). It matches the Rfam family "tRNA", at positions 9 to 63 of the family's 71-position model. From Rfam's summary of the family: Transfer RNA (tRNA) molecules are approximately 80 nucleotides in length. Their secondary structure includes four short double-helical elements and three loops (D, anti-codon, and T loops). Further hydrogen bonds mediate the characteristic L-shaped molecular structure. tRNAs have two regions of fundamental functional importance: the anti-codon, which is responsible for specific mRNA codon recognition, and the 3' end, to which the tRNAs corresponding amino acid is attached (by aminoacyl-tRNA synthetases). tRNAs cope with the degeneracy of the genetic code in two manners: having more than one tRNA (with a specific anti-codon) for a particular amino acid; and 'wobble' base-pairing, i.e. permitting non-standard base-pairing at the 3rd anti-codon position. The record is from Rfam by way of RNAcentral. Lineage: Eukaryota; Metazoa; Chordata; Mammalia; Rodentia; Cricetidae.
AGCUCAGUUGGUAGAGCGCUUGCCUAACAAGCAUGAGGNCUUGGGCUCCAUCCCCAG